Molecule: ribosomal RNA, 497 nt
Filed under: uncultured bacterium
Lineage: Bacteria
Description: partial 16S ribosomal RNA
Rfam family: Bacterial small subunit ribosomal RNA
Source: RNAcentral
GAUGAACGCUGGCGGCGUGCCUAAUACAUGCAAGUCGAGCGAACAGACGAGGAGCUUGCUCCUCUGACGUUAGCGGCGGACGGGUGAGUAACACGUGGAUAACCUACCUAUAAGACUGGGAUAACUUCGGGAAACCGGAGCUAAUACCGGAUAAUAUAUUGAACCGCAUGGUUCAAUAGUGAAAGACGGUUUUGCUGUCACUUAUAGAUGGAUCCGCGCCGCAUUAGCUAGUUGGUAAGGUAACGGCUUACCAAGGCAACGAUGCGUAGCCGACCUGAGAGGGUGAUAGGCCACACUGGAGCUGAGACACGGUCCAGGCUCCUACGAGAGGCAGCAGUCGGGAAUCUUCCGCAAUGGGCGAAAGCCUGACGGAGCAACGGCGCGUGAGGGAUGAAGGUCUUCGGAUCGUAAAACUCUGUUAUUAGGGAAGAACAAAUGUGUAAGUAACUAUGCACGUCUUGACGGUACCUAAUCAGAAAGCCACGGCUAACUACGUG